GUGAACGCUGGCGGUAGGCCUAACACCUGCAAGUCGAACGGCAGCACAGUAAGAGCUUGCUCUUACGGGUGGCGAGUGGCGGACGGGUGAGGAAUACAUCGGAAUCUACUUUUUCGUGGGGGAUAACGUAGGGAAACUUACGCUAAUACCGCAUACGACCUACGGGUGAAAGCCGGGGAUCUUCGGACCUUGCGCGAUUGAAUGAGCCGAUGUCGGAUUAGCUAGUUGGCGGGGUAAAGGCCCACCAAGGCGACGAUCCGUAGCUGGUCUGAGAGGAUGAUCAGCCACACUGGAACUGAGACACGGUCCAGACUCCUACGGGAGGCAGCAGUGGGGAAUAUUGGACAAUGGGCGCAAGCCUGAUCCAGCCAUACCGCGUGGGUGAAGAAGGCCUUCGGGUUGUAAAGCCCUUUUGUUGGGAAAGAAAAGCAGCAGGUUAAUACCCCGCUGUUCUGACGGUACCCAAAGAAUAAGCACCGGCUAACUUCGUG
Molecule: ribosomal RNA, 491 nt
Filed under: uncultured bacterium
Lineage: Bacteria
Description: partial 16S ribosomal RNA
Rfam family: Bacterial small subunit ribosomal RNA
Source: RNAcentral